This 245-nucleotide ribosomal RNA is filed under the name uncultured bacterium. RNAcentral's name for it is "partial 16S ribosomal RNA". It matches the Rfam family "Bacterial small subunit ribosomal RNA", at positions 1258 to 1500 of the family's 1533-position model. The record is from RNAcentral.
CGAAGGCAAGCGGAUCUCUUAAAGCCGUUCUCAGUUCGGACUGUAGGCUGCAACUCGCCUACACGAAGCUGGAAUCGCUAGUAAUCGCGGAUCAGCACGCCGCGGUGAAUACGUUCCCGGGCCUUGUACACACCGCCCGUCACACCAUGAGAGUCUGUAACACCCAAAGCCGGUGGGAUAACCUUUAUAGGAGUCAGCCGUCUAAGGUAGGACAGAUGAUUAGGGUGAAGUCGUAACAAGGUAAC